Motacilla alba alba is the source of this 428-nucleotide long non-coding RNA. RefSeq lists it as uncharacterized. The record is from RefSeq and is a predicted model, not a curated record. The transcript has 2 exons. NCBI's taxonomy places the organism in Eukaryota, Metazoa, Chordata, Aves, Passeriformes, Motacillidae.
GACCGGCUGUCCCCCGCCCCGCUGGGACAGGCUGGCCCGCGGGACUGCUCCGGACGGGAAUCAAAGCUUUGGGAAUGCGCACGGGAGCUCCAGAACCUGCCAGUCAGGCGGGAUCCACCAUCCUGCAGGAGGGCUGGGGUCAGCCAGGGGCUGCCUUGCCCCGCUCCUGCCCUGGAUUUGGCAGGGAUUUGGGAUGCUCCGGGCACAGCCAUUCCCUGCGGCGUCUUCCCAAGGCAUUGCAGGUUUUACCAUAAUCCAGCUGCUUCUGGCCCGGUUUGGGAGACCUUCCUCCAGGAACACUUCCUGCUCCCGUCCACACCAUUCCAGACAAAUUGAUGGAGUCAGCAGGAUGGGAAGUGUUAUCACGUACUACAAAAACAUGGAAUGAUUCCAAGUCCCAGAUUAUCAGAUAAAUGGGCUCCUGAUAA